GCGCGCAUCCAGGCGGAUCUCCACCCAGUUGUUGAGCAGGGCAAAAAGCGGCGCCAGCGGGCAGGCGGCCACGAAGAUGGUGACGAACCCGAACUGCAGCACUGCCGGGCAGGAGUAGCUGCUGGUGGAGCUGCACUCUUAGGAAAUGCUGAUCCCUAGAAGCUGCAGGGGCAGAGUAGAGGUGGCUUACGGCACAAAGAUCUCCUGCACGUUGUUGAUGAUCUGUUUGCCCACCAUGAUGACCAGGAGCUCCUGUGCCAGCUCGAUGAGGCAGCCUCCAGCAGCACACUGCAGCAGCAACUUCAGGUUAGCCGGGGGAGGGACCAGGCACACACACGCCUGGCUUUCUCUAUGCCUCGAAGGUGGCUUCUCUACCCCCACCUCCCAUAGGACAUGCCUGGAGUACCUUGAAAAUUGCAGAGAUCCGCCCUCCCCACCUCACUUCAGUUUGUAUGGGAACAGCCACUGGGCAGCUGCAGUGUGUGCCCUAUCGUUCCUCAGCCCACGGUAGCCUCGGGCUCCAGGGAAGACCCAACAUGUGGCCAGUAAAGAAUCACCCCCCAGGGGUUGCUAGGAAUGCAUGCCGAGCCCGGGAAGUUCAGUCACACCGUGGGAUGUCAUCCUCACAGGGUCGGAAAACCCUGAGAACUCAGCCCGUGCUGAGGGCAGCACCUGGAUCUGGCCGUUCUUGAACCACAGAGUCUCCAGUAACUUCAACACAAGAGCAAGUGGUAACCCUUUUCUCACCUAAGCCAGUCUGAACUGGGCAACUCACUAAGAGUUGAGAGCUGUGUAAUCUGGCACAGCAGCCACAGUCAAGCUCCUGGGGUAGGGGCCCAGUUGCUCUGCGCUGCCCCUCCCCACACAAUUCCUUCCCCUUAACGUAAAGGUGGACAGCUUCCCUUGACGAGGUGAACCACCUUGCAGUAAGAUGAGCUAAUGGCCCGGGCCAUGGGAAGAUGCCUGUUCUCCCUCCUCUAAGAAGAGUAGGGUCUUUUUGGACCCAUUGCUCAGUAGUGGCCACGGAACCCCAUGUCCCCCAAGUCCAGCUCCACAGCCACGAGUGGACAGGCCCAGAUGUCCCCACCACACUGCCUAUACCUCUGGUUAACCCUGCUUGGCCCUCAGCUAACAAGGCCGCAAGUGGAGAGAGAAAUUCUUUGGAUGUCUGGACAACAUGGGGACCACUCCUUACUCCUUCUUGGUAUUUAUGUUUUGGUGUCUUGAAGCCCCUGUCACCUCCAGAGACAACCUACGUGUCUUCCUCUGCAAAGACCGCUGCUCAUCUGAGAAGCCAGACUCUCCUGAUUCCCAGAGUCCCCAGGUCCCAAAGACAAGCGGAGCCCACUAGUGCUAGAGGGAGAAGCCCAGGCAAUGAGUCUGUGGGGCACCGGCCGCAGUGUCCUCCCAGCCAGCAGGGACGGUGCUGGGGCUCACGAGGGAUGGGCGCCCUAAAGACUCAGAUGCCUCAGGGCGUGUAUUGGGUGACAGCAGAGAAGGGCUGGGACCCGUGGCGUGUGUGUUCUCUACACAGUGGCUGCGAAUCAGGACCUGGGCCUGAUAUGGUCAAAAGUCCUGGAGUCCUGGGAAGCAGCUGUAAGCCUGGCCUCUGGCUUGGACAUUAGUGGAAGGUGGGUACCAAGAAUGGCGUCAAAUUAAGGCCUGGGUGGGUACAGAGGGAGCGUCCGCUCCCUGGCUGGGCGUGUCCAGCACACUCACCUCUUCAUUCCGGACUCCAAACAAGGUGUGGUAGUUGCCUGGGUAUCCCACAAACCUAGUAGGAUCCAAGUUGUGAGCCUGUGAGGGACUAGAUACUGAGAGUCAUCUCUGUCCUCCCACCCCGAGGCCUGGCCCGGGGGAGCACAGGCUGGAUCUCUUGUGCCCUCUGAGCCCCUGCCAUCACUCUUGCCCAGUCCUUGGCCCUGGCUACCUAUCUCCACCUGCUCCAGAGGACAGGGUGAGCCACAGGGGAUGGAUACCUAUCUCCACCUGCUCCUGAGCACAGCGGACAGGGUGAGCCACAGGGGAUGGAUACCUAUCUCCACCUGCUCCUGAGCACAGCGGACAGGGUGAGCCACAGGGGAUGGAUACCUAUCUCCACCUGCUCCUGAGCACAGCGGACAGGGUGAGCCACAGGGGAGAGGUGGCCACUUACCUGCCCUUGAAGAAGGCAAUGUACACAGGUGAGGCGUAGAAGUUGACAAACUGAAAGACGAACACCUUGAGGGUGAAGGCAUCCUCGAAUGCCGUCUGUGUCCGGUGCAUCUCUGUGCAUGGGGGGCUUUCACUCAGUCCCCAGGGCACUGCCCCUGCCCAAGAGACCCCACCACCCAGGGUGGGGCGGAAGCCACAUUGCCCAGAUAUUUUAAAGAACUUCAUUAAAGGAGGGGGUCAACAUAUAGCAGUCCUAACUUUAUCUAAAUUUUCCUCAAACAUGUUGAUGAAGGCAGUGGUAAAUCUUGAUUGUCUACUGGAAUAGGUGAAAUGAGAUUGAUCUGUCCCUGAGGCUGUUUCCAGAGAGUAUUAGCUCAUGAGGACUCUAAUGCUAUCAAUGGAUCAAUAUUAUUAAUCAGACGGAUCAAUAAUAUGCUGAUACUGUUAUUGGGAAUUGGUGGAAGUUCGGGCCUGCAUGGAAAAGCAGGGUCUGUGUUCCACCUGAUCCUGUCCUGUAUCCCCCUCCUUGCUUCCUGGGUACCACACCCUCCCUGCUGUGAUGGGCUGCCACCUCUGAAACUGUGGUCAGGAAUACAUAAUUCCUACACGAA
Molecule: long non-coding RNA, 2765 nt
Organism: Mesocricetus auratus (golden hamster)
Lineage: Eukaryota; Metazoa; Chordata; Mammalia; Rodentia; Cricetidae
Exons: 2
Source: RefSeq, a predicted model, not a curated record